RNAcentral lists this ribosomal RNA (433 nucleotides) under uncultured bacterium. Its description in RNAcentral is "partial 16S ribosomal RNA". It matches the Rfam family "Bacterial small subunit ribosomal RNA", at positions 29 to 507 of the family's 1533-position model. The record is from RNAcentral.
AACGAACGCUGGCGGCAGGCCUAACACAUGCAAGUCGAACGAGGACUUCGGUCCUAGCGGCGGACGGGUGAGUAACGCGUGGGAACGUGCCCUUUGCUUCGGAAUAGCCCUGGGAAACUGGGAGUAAUACCGGAUGAGCCCUUUGGGGGAAAGAUUUAUCGGCGAAGGAUCGGCCCGCGUUGGAUUAGGUAGUUGGUGGGGUAAUGGCCUACCAAGCCGACGAUCCAUAGCUGGUUUGAGAGGAUGAUCAGCCACACUGGGACUGAGACACGGCCCAGACUCCUACGGGAGGCAGCAGUGGGGAAUCUUAGACAAUGGGGGAAACCCUGAUCUAGCCAUGCCGCGUGAGCGAUGAAGGCCUUAGGGUUGUAAAGCUCUUUCAGCUGGGAAGAUAAUGACGGUACCAGCAGAAGAAGCCCCGGCUAACUCCGUG